GGGACAGCUGCACGUGGCGUUUAGCGCAGGGGCUGGCGUGCAGUGUGCGCGUUUAAUCAUCAUCUUUUUAAUCAUCAUCAGUGCUGAUGCUCAGGAGCACCACUGUCACAGCAUUGCUCGCUGCUGUUUUUUUCCUCAGGUCACUACACUGGACAUUUUCCAUUGCAAAUAGACAUUCACUUUGAACUGAGAAUCCUAAUGGUACUCUGAACAGUAAAGUGCCCAGAGAAGAGAAUUUAUGUUCUAACUUUCUGAGCAGAGGAAUACCAUAUAUUAAGUUCUCGUCAAGGAUAUGUAAGUAUGUAUUAUACAUGGGACUUCCGGAGAGAAGGCUAUUUGAAGGUAAGUGAUACCCUGUUCCUUUUUACAUCAUAGUCUCCCUUUUUUCUUUCACCUUUUUUACCUUUUGUCCACCCUCUUCUGUCCUACUCCUUGGAAUUUAGAUGUGAUAUAUGGAAGACUAGUAGCCCAUUUUAGAUCAUCAGGGAACUUUAAGGAUGGAGACCAUGUGCUAAGCUGGCAAAGCAGAUAAGAGGAGUCUGGGUUAUUUGUGAUUAUGAAACUGUCUCUACAUAGAUGACUUCCUACUUCUGAACUGCUUUCACGUAAGAAGAAAAAUAAACUAUUCAACAUCAAAAGGAAGAAGUGCACCUCCCUGGUGGCGCAAUGUGUUAAGACGCAACCUGUGAAGCUGUGAAACUGUCCGCAGACACUGCAGCAUGAGUUCGAUCCCCAGCCAGGGAGCUACCCACAUGGCACAGCACACCUCUCCUGACUCACCCACUGCUCCCCUCAGCAGUGUAUUUCAGUAGAUCUGCCUGUUCUGUUCCCCACUCUGUCUCUGGUGGGUCCUCUCACCUCCCAUAUCUCUGGCCUGUACCCCAGUUCUUGUAUGCAUAA
Long non-coding RNA from Talpa occidentalis (Iberian mole), 900 nucleotides. RefSeq lists it as uncharacterized. NCBI's taxonomy places the organism in Eukaryota, Metazoa, Chordata, Mammalia, Eulipotyphla, Talpidae. The record is from RefSeq and is a predicted model, not a curated record. The transcript is spliced from 4 exons.